GAUGAAGAACGUAGCGAAAUGCGAUAAGUAAUGUGAAUUGCAGAAUUCAGUGAAUCAUCGAAUCUUUGAACGCACAUUGCGCCCCCUGGUAUUCCGGGGGGCAUGCCUGUUCGAGCGUCAUUUCACCACUCAAGCCUCGCUUGGUAUUGGGCAACGCGGUCCGCCGCGUGCCUCAAAUCGACCGGCUGGGUCUUCUGUCCCCUAAGCGUUGUGGAAACUAUUCGCUAAAGGGUGUUCGGGAGGCUACGCCGUAAAACAACCCCAUUUCUAAGGUUGACCUCGGAUCAGGUAGGGAUACCCGCUGAACUUAAGCAUAUCAAUAAGCGGAUGA
This 331-nucleotide unclassified non-coding RNA is filed under the name soil metagenome. RNAcentral's name for it is "partial contains 5.8S ribosomal RNA, internal transcribed spacer 2, and large subunit ribosomal RNA". The stretch from base 1 to 120 matches the Rfam family "5.8S ribosomal RNA", at positions 35 to 154 of the family's 154-position model. The record is from RNAcentral.